UUUGUCGUGAAAGCCCCGGGCUCAACCUGGGAAUUGCGAUGAAGACUGCAAGGCUUGAAUCUGGCAGAGGGGGGUAGAAUUCCACGUGUAGCAGUGAAAUGCGUAGAGAUGUGGAGGAACACCGAUGGCGAAGGCAGCCCCCUGGGUCAAGAUUGACGCUCAUGCACGAAAGCGUGGGGAGCAAACAGGAUUAGAUACCCUGGUAGUCCACGCCCUAAACGAUGUCUACUAGUUGUCGGGUUUUAAUUAACUUGGUAACGCAGCUAACGCGUGAAGUAGACCGCCUGG
This 288-nucleotide ribosomal RNA is filed under the name uncultured Massilia sp. Its description in RNAcentral is "partial 16S ribosomal RNA". It matches the Rfam family "Bacterial small subunit ribosomal RNA", at positions 588 to 876 of the family's 1533-position model. Lineage: Bacteria; Pseudomonadati; Pseudomonadota; Betaproteobacteria; Burkholderiales; Oxalobacteraceae. The record is from RNAcentral.